Molecule: ribosomal RNA, 300 nt
Filed under: Mesorhizobium sp. M2D.F.Ca.ET.160.01.1.1
Lineage: Bacteria; Pseudomonadati; Pseudomonadota; Alphaproteobacteria; Hyphomicrobiales; Phyllobacteriaceae
Description: bacterial SSU rRNA
Rfam family: Bacterial small subunit ribosomal RNA
Source: RNAcentral
CGCAGUAUCGAAGCUAACGCGUUAAGUUCGCCGCCUGGGGAGUACGGUCGCAAGACUGAAACUCAAAGGAAUUGACGGGGGCCCGCACAAGCGGUGGAGUAUGUGGUUUAAUUCGAUGCAACGCGAAGAACCUUACCUGGCCUUGACAUGUCGAGAACUUUCCAGAGAUGGAUCGGUGCCUUCGGGAACUCGAACACAGGUGCUGCAUGGCUGUCGUCAGCUCGUGUCGUGAGAUGUUGGGUUAAGUCCCGCAACGAGCGCAACCCUUGUCCUUAGUUGCCAGCACGUAAUGGUGGGAAC